GAUGAACGCUGACAGAAUGCUUAACACAUGCAAGUCUACUUGAAUUGGGUUUUUUAACUUCGAUUUGGGUGGCGGACGGGUGAGUAACGCGUAAAGAACUUGCCUCACAGCUAGGGACAACAUUUGGAAACGAAUGCUAAUACCUGAUAUUAUGAUUAUAAGGCAUCUUAGAAUUAUGAAAGCUAUAUGCGCUGUGAGAGAGCUUUGCGUCCCAUUAGCUAGUUGGAGAGGUAACGGCUCACCAAGGCGAUGAUGGGUAGCCGGCCUGAGAGGGUGAACGGCCACAAGGGGACUGAGGCACGGCCCUUACUCCUACGGGAGGCAGCAGUGGGGAAUAUUGGACAAUGGACCAAGAGUCUGAUCCAGCAAUUCUGUGUGCACGAUGACGUUUUUCGGAAUGUAAAGUGCUUUCAGUUGGGAAGAAAGAAAUGACGGUACCAACAGAAGAAGUGACGGCUAAAUACGUG
This 467-nucleotide ribosomal RNA is filed under the name uncultured bacterium. RNAcentral's name for it is "partial 16S ribosomal RNA". It matches the Rfam family "Bacterial small subunit ribosomal RNA", at positions 28 to 507 of the family's 1533-position model. The record is from RNAcentral.